GAUGAACGCUGGUGGCGUGCCUAAUACAUGCAAGUCGAGCGAACAGACGAGGAGCUUGCUCCUUUGACGUUAGCGGCGGACGGGUGAGUAACACGUGGGUAACCUACCUAUAAGACUGGGAUAACUUCGGGAAACCGGAGCUAAUACCGGAUAAUAUUUCGAACCGCAUGGUUCGAUAGUGAAAGAUGGCUUUGCUAUCACUUAUAGAUGGACCUGCGCCGUAUUAGCUAGUUGGUAAGGUAACGGCUUACCAAGGCAACGAUACGUAGCCGACCUGAGAGGGUGAUCGGCCACACUGGAACUGAGACACGGUCCAGACUCCUACGGGAGGCAGCAGUAGGGAAUCUUCCGCAAUGGGCGAAAGCCUGACGGAGCAACGCCGCGUGAGUGAUGAAGGUCUUCGGAUCGUAAAACUCUGUUAUUAGGGAAGAACAAACGUGUAAGUAACUGUGCACGUCUUGACGGUACCUAAUCAGAAAGCCACGGCUAACUACGUGCCAGCAGCCGCGGUAAUACGUAGGUGGCAAGCGUUAUCCGGAAUUAUUGGGCGUAAAGCGCGCGUAGGCGGUUUUUUAAGUCUGAUGUGAAAGCCCACGGCUCAACCGUGGAGGGUCAUUGGAAACUGGAAAACUUGAGUGCAGAAGAGGAAAGUGGAAUUCCAUGUGUAGCGGUGAAAUGCGCAGAGAUAUGGAGGAACACCAGUGGCGAAGGCGACUUUCUGGUCUGUAACUGACGCUGAUGUGCGAAAGCGUGGGGAUCAAACAGGAUUAGAUACCCUGGUAGUCCACGCCGUAAACGAUGAGUGCUAAGUGUUAGGGGGUUUCCGCCCCUUAGUGCUGCAGCUAACGCAUUAAGCACUCCGCCUGGGGAGUACGACCGCAAGGUUGAAACUCAAAGGAAUUGACGGGGACCCGCACAAGCGGUGGAGCAUGUGGUCUAAUUCGAAGCAACGCGAAGAACCUUACCAAAUCUUGACAUCCUUUGACCCUUCUAGAGAUAGAAGUUUCCCCUUCGGGGGACAAAGUGACAGGUGGUGCAUGGUUGUCGUCAGCUCGUGUCGUGAGAUGUUGGGUUAAGUCCCGCAACGAGCGCAACCCUUAAGCUUAGUUGCCAUCAUUAAGUUGGGCACUCUAAGUUGACUGCCGGUGACAAACCGGAGGAAGGUGGGGAUGACGUCAAAUCAUCAUGCCCCUUAUGAUUUGGGCUACACACGUGCUACAAUGGACAAUACAAAGGGCAGCGAAACCGCGAGGUCAAGCAAAUCCCAUAAAGUUGUUCUCAGUUCGGAUUGUAGUCUGCAACUCGACUACAUGAAGCUGGAAUCGCUAGUAAUCGUAGAUCAGCAUGCUACGGUGAAUACGUUCCCGGGUCU
Molecule: ribosomal RNA, 1372 nt
Filed under: uncultured bacterium
Lineage: Bacteria
Description: bacterial SSU rRNA
Rfam family: Bacterial small subunit ribosomal RNA
Source: RNAcentral